This 253-nucleotide ribosomal RNA is filed under the name uncultured bacterium. RNAcentral's name for it is "partial 16S ribosomal RNA". It matches the Rfam family "Bacterial small subunit ribosomal RNA", at positions 524 to 776 of the family's 1533-position model. The record is from RNAcentral.
UACAGAGGUCUCAAGCGUUGUUCGGAUUCAUUGGGCGUAAAGGGUGCGUAGGCGGCGCGGUAAGUCGGGUGUGAAAUCUUGGAGCUUAACUCCGAAACUGCAUUCGAUACUGCGGUGCUUGAGGACUGGAGAGGAGACUGGAAUUCAUGGUGUAGCAGUGAAAUGCGUAGAGAUCAUGAGGAAGACCAGUGGCGAAGGCGGGUCUCUGGACAGUUCCUGACGCUGAGGCACGAAGGCCAGGGGAGCAAACGGG